GCGACCUGAGAGGAGGCUUCAGAGAGGAUGGCAGAUGUGUUGACGCCAUCAAGAUUAACGUUCGUCGAAAUGUUCAAGCAAGGCAUUUUCUCUGUCGACACUUCACAGCACUCACUUGUUAUUCUUCGCUGCACAUAAAACCCUCCUCCAAAUAAAAAUAAAUAAAAGA
Long non-coding RNA from Populus euphratica (Euphrates poplar), 169 nucleotides. RefSeq lists it as uncharacterized. NCBI's taxonomy places the organism in Eukaryota, Viridiplantae, Streptophyta, Magnoliopsida, Malpighiales, Salicaceae. The record is from RefSeq and is a predicted model, not a curated record. The transcript has 2 exons.